This 403-nucleotide ribosomal RNA is filed under the name uncultured bacterium. RNAcentral's name for it is "partial 16S ribosomal RNA". It matches the Rfam family "Bacterial small subunit ribosomal RNA", at positions 30 to 523 of the family's 1533-position model. The record is from RNAcentral.
AUUGAACGCUGGCGGCAGGCCUAACACAUGCAAGUCGAACGAGUGGCGGACGGGUGAGUAAUGUCUGGGAAAAUGCCCGAUGGAGGGGGAUCACUAAUGGAAACGGUAGCUAAUACCGCAUACCAUCGGAUGUGCCCAGAUGGGAUUAGCGAGUAGGGGGGGUAACGGCUCACCUAGGCGACGAUCCCUAGCUGGUCUGCGAGGAUGACCAGCCACACGGGAACUGAGACACGGUCCAGACUCCGACGGGAUGCAGCAGUGGGGAAUAUUGCACAAUGGGCGCAAGCCUGAUGCAGCCAUGCCGCGUGUAUGAAGAAGGCCUUCGGGUUGUAAAGUACUUUCAGCGAGGAGGCGUUACUCGCAGAAGAAGCACCGGCUAACUCCGUGCCAGCAGCCGCGAUUC